GACGAACGCUGGCGGUGUGCCUAACACAUGCAAGUCGAACGGUAAGGCCCUUUCGGGGGUACACGAGUGGCGAACGGGUGAGUAACACGUGAGUAACCUGCCCUCAUCUCUGGGAUAACAGUCGGAAACGGUUGCUAAUACUGGAUAUGAGCUUGCAAGGCAUCUUGUGGGUUGGAAAGAUUUUUUUGGUUGGGGAUGGACUCGCGGCCUAUCAGCUUGUUGGUGAGGUAGUGGCUCACCAAGGCUUCGACGGGUAGCCGGCCUGAGAGGGCGACCGGCCACAUUGGGACUGAGAUACGGCCCAAACUCCUACGGGAGGCAGCAGUGGGGAAUAUUGCACAAUGGACGGAAGUCUGAUGCAGCAACGCCGCGUGCGGGAUGACGGCCUUCGGGUUGUAAACCGCUUUCAAUUGUGACGAAGCUUUUUGUGACGGUAGCAGUAGAAGAAGCACCGGCUAACUACGU
Molecule: ribosomal RNA, 465 nt
Filed under: uncultured bacterium
Lineage: Bacteria
Description: partial 16S ribosomal RNA
Rfam family: Bacterial small subunit ribosomal RNA
Source: RNAcentral